Molecule: ribosomal RNA, 647 nt
Filed under: uncultured fungus
Lineage: Eukaryota; Fungi
Description: eukaryotic LSU rRNA
Rfam family: 5.8S ribosomal RNA (bases 217-370)
Source: RNAcentral
CUUGGUCAUUUAGAGGAAGUAAAAGUCGUAACAAGGUUUCCGUAGGUGAACCUGCGGAAGGAUCAUUAGUGAAUUUAGAGCGUAACUUCGGUUAGCUCAACCUUCAUUUUCCAACUCUGUGCACUAUUGGCGGACUGAGAGUAAGCAAUUGCUAUUCAGUCUGCGGCUCACUAUUAAACAUUAGUUAAAGUAUGUAAACAAAAACAAAACAAAAAAAACUUUCAACAACGGAUCUCUUGGCUCUCGCAUCGAUGAAGAACGCAGCGAAAUGUGAUAAGUAAUGUGAAUUGCAGAAUUCAGUGAAUCAUCGAAUCUUUGAACGCACCUUGCGCUCUCUGGUAUUCCGGAGAGCAUGUCUGUUUGAGUGUCAUGAACUCUUCAACCUACCGGUUUCUAGUAAAUCGGAUUAGUGUUUGGAUUCUGAACGCCUGCUGGCCUUUAUUGGCGAAGCUCGUUCGUAAAUGAUUAGCAUCUCAUAUUCGAAAAUCGGAUUGACUCAGUGUAAUAGACUAUUCGCUGAGGACGCUCUUUCGGGAGUGGCCGAGUUUUGUAAAGUAGAAGCUUCUAAUUCUAUUAGUCAACUUUAGAUUAGACCUCAGAUCAGGCAGGAUUACCCGCUGAACUUAAGCAUAUCAAUAAGCGGAGGA